This is an unclassified non-coding RNA of Parasteatoda tepidariorum (common house spider), 1124 nucleotides long. The record is from RefSeq and is a predicted model, not a curated record. NCBI's taxonomy places the organism in Eukaryota, Metazoa, Arthropoda, Arachnida, Araneae, Theridiidae.
AUUUAGCACCAUGCACGAAAUACUAAUAAAUAUUUCACAAAUCAUCCGAAUACCUUGACAACAAUUUUACUUUGGCCCUAGUUGGGCACAAAAUUUUCUAUAUAACGGUUUGAUAAGUACUUGCACCUGUUGGUCAAUAGUGGAAUGUCUAGAUAUUGGUCCUAGAAUGGAUUUUAAAAUUGAGCAAUAGCAGUUCUAUAUAGGGCGCCGAUAUUGGUUGAAAAGUGGUUGUAAAACACCGUGUGAAAUGGGCAAUUCUAUGUAGAGCCGAUAAUGGAUAUAAAGUAGUAUUUAGGUAAAUCUAACAGUUCUAUAAAAGGCCGAUAUUGUUUAAAAGUGGCUGCAAAACAUCGGGUGAAAUGGACAAUUCUUCCCUCAUUGUGUUUUCCUUAACUUACGACAGAGUAUAACGCAUAAAUUGUUCAACUUCAACGUUGCUAAGCCGAGUUGAAAUAAUGCACGAUUCGAAGCAGUAUACUUAUCACGAGCACAGGAGGACGACAUUUUCCAGCAUUUUCAGUCAAAUCGGAGGAUCACUCGGUUUGUUUCUAGGAGCUAGCAUCAUCUCUGUUAUAGAAUUAUCUAUUUUCCUCAUGCAAUGGAUUUGGUAUAAAUGUUGUCCAACAAGAACUGUGAAAUCCUCACAAUUGUAUUCCACAUCCAGCAAAAGAACAAAAAGCAACUAAUUGAAUAUCAGAGAUAAACUAAUUGGAUAGUGUGCAAAAAAGAAAAAAAAAAGAAAAGAAACCGACCACCCUGAAUAACUUUAGAUCUAGUGAUCGGAUUUUCAUGUUCUAGGACUAAAUCUUAAUGGCUCGAGGGGUGUGACCUCAAAUAUACUAAUUAAUUAGUGCAGACGAUAUUUCAAGUUUCGAAAUAAGGCAGAAAAAUAUAAUUUCUCUGAAUAAACAGAACCUAUUUUCUUAUGUAUUCCGAUUUGUGAUCCCCAAAAUAUAAGGGGUAGCCGCAAUCCUGGAUCGAAUCUUUAAAGAUCUUAUUUUAAAGAUCUGACUUUUUUUAAAUUCCAAUUUCUCGGAACUUUUCAAGUGAUUUUGCUGAAAUUUUGUAUUUUGUCUUCUUGGUUUUUUAAAAUGAUAUGAAAAAUUUUAUAUCUAACAAUUCAA